CAUAGCGAACUGCUCAGUAACACAUGAUCAACUUGCCCUAUAGAGAAAUAUAACCUCGGGAAACUGAGGAUAAUAUUUCAUAGUUGAAUAGGCUUGGAAAAGUUCUUCAAUCAAAGGGAUAAAAAAAAUGGUUUUUAUCUGCUAUAGGAUAGGAUCGUGGACGAUUAUGGUUGUUGGUGAGGUAACGGCUCACCAAGCCGAUAAUCGAUAGGGGCCGUGAGAGCGGGAGCCCCGAGAUGGGUACUGAGACAACGACCCAGGCCUUACGAGGCGCAGCAGGCGCGGAACCUCCGCAAUACACGAAAGUGUGACGGGGUUACCCAAAGUGUUCAAUUUUGAACUGUGGUAGGUGAGUAAUGUUCCCUACUAGAAAGGAGAGGGCAAGGCUGGUGCCAGCCGCCGCGGUAAAACCAGCUCUUCAAGUGGUCGGGAUAAUUAUUGGGCUUAAAGUGUCCGUAGCCGGUUUAGUAAGUUCCUGGUAAAAUCGGGUAGCUUAACUAUCUGUAUGCUAGGAAUACUGCUAUACUAGAGGGCGGGAGAGGUCUGAGGUACUACAGGGGUAGGGGUGAAAUCUUAUAAUCCUUGUAGGACCACCAGUGGCGAAGGCGUCAGACUGGAACGCGCCUGACGGUGAGGGACGAAAGCCAGGGGAGCGAACCGGAUUAGAUACCCGGGUAGUCCUGGCCGUAAACGAUGCAUACUAGGUGAUGGUAUGGCCAUGAGCCAUAUCAGUGCCGUAGGGAAACCGUUAAGUGUGCCGCCUGGGAAG
RNAcentral lists this ribosomal RNA (769 nucleotides) under uncultured archaeon. RNAcentral describes it as "bacterial SSU rRNA". It matches the Rfam family "Archaeal small subunit ribosomal RNA", at positions 77 to 835 of the family's 1478-position model. The record is from RNAcentral.